RNAcentral lists this transfer RNA (76 nucleotides) under Phocaeicola plebeius. RNAcentral's name for it is "tRNA-Gly". It matches the Rfam family "tRNA". Rfam says of the family: Transfer RNA (tRNA) molecules are approximately 80 nucleotides in length. The record is from RNAcentral. Lineage: Bacteria; Pseudomonadati; Bacteroidota; Bacteroidia; Bacteroidales; Bacteroidaceae.
GCGGAAAUAGCUCAGUUGGUAGAGCAUAACCUUGCCAAGGUUAGGGUCGCGAGUUCGAGUCUCGUUUUCCGCUCCC